RNAcentral lists this ribosomal RNA (301 nucleotides) under uncultured bacterium. RNAcentral's name for it is "partial 16S ribosomal RNA". It matches the Rfam family "Bacterial small subunit ribosomal RNA", at positions 509 to 807 of the family's 1533-position model. The record is from RNAcentral.
CAGCAGCCGCGGUAAUACAGAGGAUGCAAGCGUUAUCCGGAAUGAUUGGGCGUAAAGCGUCUGUAGGUGGCUUUUCAAGUCCGCCGUCAAAUCCCAGGGCUCAACCCUGGACAGGCGGUGGAAACUACCAAGCUUGAGUACAGUAGGGGCAGAGGGAAUUUCCAGUGGAGCGGUGAAAUGCGUUGAGAUCGGAAAGAACACCAAUGACAAAAGCACUCUGUUGGGCUGACACUGACACUGAGAGACGAAAGCUAGGGGAGCAAAUGGGAUUAGAUACCCCCGUAGUCCCUGUCUCUUAUAC